CCCUUAGAUGUUCUGGGCCGCACGCGCGCUACACUGACGAAUGCAACGAGCUUAUAACCUUGGCCGAAAGGUCUGGGUAAUCUCCAAAUUUCGUCGUGAUGGGGAUAGAUUAUUGCAAUUAUUAAUCUUCAACGAGGAAUGCCUAGUAAGCGCAAGUCAUCAGCUUGCGUUGAUUACGUCCCUGCCCUUUGUACACACCGCCCGUCGCUCCUACCGAUUGAAUGGUCCGGUGAAGCGUUCGGACCGUGGCCUUUGGACGGUUCGCCGUCUGUUAGCUGCGGGAAGUUCGUUAAACCUUAUCAUUUAGAGGAAGGAGAAGUCGUAACA
This 327-nucleotide ribosomal RNA is filed under the name uncultured eukaryote. RNAcentral describes it as "partial 18S ribosomal RNA". It matches the Rfam family "Eukaryotic small subunit ribosomal RNA", at positions 1470 to 1796 of the family's 1831-position model. The record is from RNAcentral.